RNAcentral lists this long non-coding RNA (1137 nucleotides) under Octopus vulgaris (common octopus). Lineage: Eukaryota; Metazoa; Mollusca; Cephalopoda; Octopoda; Octopodidae. The record is from RNAcentral.
AUUUGAGAAAUGAGAUUUAGUAUAUUGUUGAUUUAAAGAUAAACCUGUAAUUAAAGGGUAUCAAUGGGUGAAUCCUGCAAAUAAAGCAAAGACUGCUCCUAUAGAUAAAACGUAAUGAAAAUGUGCAACUACAUAAUAGGUGUCAUGAAGUAUCAUGUCUAAAGAUGAAUUAGAUAAAACAAUUCCAGUUAGUCCACCUGUAGUAAAUAGAAAAAUAAAUCCUAAUGGUCAUAAUAUAGGAGAGGUAUACUUAAUAGAUGAACCAUAAAUAGUAGCUAAUCAACUAAAGACUUUAAUUCCUGUGUGAAUUGCAAUAAUUAUUGUGGCAGCUGUAAAAUAUGCUCGUGUAUCAACGUAUAUUCCGACUGUAAACAUAUGGUGGGCUCAGAUGACAAAUCCUAGAAGUCCAAUAGAUAAUAUUGCGUAAAUUAUUCCGAGUUUUCCGAAAGUUUCUUUUUUUUAAAGGGUAGUGAAAAACAAUAUGAGAAAUUAUACCAAAUCCUGGUAAAAUUAAAAUGUAAACUUCUGGAUGUCCAAAAAAUCAGAAUAGAUGUUGAUAUAAAAAUUGGAUCUCCGCCGCCUCUUGGAUAAAAAAAUGUAGUGUUGAAAUUUCAAUCGGUUAAGAGUAUGGUAAUUGGCGGCGAGCUGGCAGAAACGUUAGCACGCCGGGCGAAAUGCGUAGCCAUAUUUCGUCUGCCGUUACGUUCUGAGUUCAAAUUCCGCCGAGGUCGACUUUGUCUUUCAUCCUUUCGGGGUUGAUUAAAUAAGUACCAGUUACGCAUUGGGGUCGAUGUAAUCGACUUAAUCCGUUUGCCUGUCCUUGUUUGUCCCCUCUAUGUUUAGCUCCAUGUGGGUAGUAAAGAAAUAAGUAUGGUAAUUGCUCCAGCAAGAACUGGUUAACAGAGAAAUAGUAAAAUUGCAGUGAUAAAAACCGAUCAUACAAAUAAAGGGAGUCGUUCUAUUAAUAUACCUUCUCAUCGUAUAUUAAUAAUAGUUGCGAUGAAAUUAAUGGCUCCAAGAAUUGAUGAAAUACCUGCUAGAUAGAGUGAAAAAUAGCUAAGUCAACAGAAGGGCCUACAUGAGCUAAAUUUCUUGAAAGAGGAGGAUAAAAGGUUCAUCCAGUUCCUACACCUCUUU